UGAGGGAAAGUUGCAAAGAACUUUGAAGAGAGAGUUCAAGAGUACGUGAAACUGCUCAGAGGCAAACGGGUGGGCCCUCGAAAUCCUACUGCGGAGGGAUUCAGUCGGGCGCCGUCCGAGGCACGCGGGAGCCGGACCCCCAAGAAGGGACGGCCCCGCGGGAUCGGGCGCGCACGACGCACUUCCCGCCGCACUCUGGACGCCGCAUCGAAUCGGGUAGCUGCGAGAGUCGGCCUGGAGGCGGUCCGAGGAGGUGACCGGGUUCUCGGUUUCGGCCGGGUCCCCGGAUCUUGACCGGACCGCUACGUGGCGCGACACCCGAUCGUAGUCCUGGAGUUCCCCUAGCGGGAACCUCGUCUCCUGCCCUCUGGGUCGCGGUGCCCUGGUCACCGUGCGUCGGCGAGAGCGAACCACUCCCCGCAGUGGCCGCUCCGCCGCCUCGCGCGGGUUGGGCCCGGGCGUGCCGCGGAGGGAGAGACACUUGCGGCGAACUAAGUCGGUCACCCACCCGACCCGUCUUGAAACACGGACCAAGGAGUCUAACAUGUGCGCGAGUCGCAGGGUCUUGUACAGGCCCUCGGGCGCAAUGAAAGUGAAGGUCCUCGGACCGAGCUGGGAUCCCGUCCCAGCGGCGGGAGCACCAGCGGCCCGUUCCGUCCGCCCCGGCGGUGGAGCGGAGUCCGAGCGCACACGUUGGGACCCGAAAGAUGGCGAGCUAUGCCUGGGCAGAACGAAGCCGGAGGAAACUCUGGUGGAGGUUCGCAGCGGUUCUGACGUGCAAAUCGAUCGUCAGACCUGGG
RNAcentral lists this ribosomal RNA (800 nucleotides) under Psilochorus sp. DNA100446406. RNAcentral describes it as "eukaryotic LSU rRNA". It matches the Rfam family "Eukaryotic large subunit ribosomal RNA", at positions 354 to 915 of the family's 3401-position model. The record is from RNAcentral. Lineage: Eukaryota; Metazoa; Arthropoda; Arachnida; Araneae; Pholcidae.